Molecule: ribosomal RNA, 398 nt
Filed under: grassland soil clone sl2_524
Lineage: Bacteria
Description: bacterial SSU rRNA
Rfam family: Bacterial small subunit ribosomal RNA
Source: RNAcentral
AACACAUGCAAGUCGAACGGGCACUUCGGUGCUAGUGGCAGACGGGUGAGUAACACGUGGGAACGUACCUUUCGGUUCGGAAUAAUUCAGGGAAACUUGGACUAAUACCGGAUACGCCCUUCGGGGGAAAGAUUUAUCGCCGAUAGAUCGGCCCGCGUCUGAUUAGCUAGUUGGUGAGGUAAUGGCUCACCAAGGCGACGAUCAGUAGCUGGUCUGAGAGGAUGAUCAGCCACAUUGGGACUGAGACACGGCCCAAACUCCUACGGGAGGCAGCAGUGGGGAAUAUUGGACAAUGGACGCAAGCCUGAUCCAGCCAUGCCGCGUGAGUGAUGAAGGCCUUAGGGUUGUAAAGCUCUUUUGUCCGGGAAGAUAAUGACUGUACCGGAAGAAUAAGCCCC